This 359-nucleotide unclassified non-coding RNA is filed under the name fungal sp. RNAcentral's name for it is "partial internal transcribed spacer region". The record is from RNAcentral. Lineage: Eukaryota; Fungi.
AAGUCGUAGUAGGUGAACCUGCGGAAGGAUCAUUAACACGUAUCCAAACGUUAAACCCCCCUGUGAACCUUCACCUGUACUCGUACGUCCGUUAGAAAAAGCAGCAAUCCCAUCGCCGAACAGUUUUCGAUUCAGGGACGUCUGCAAGGAGCGUGCAUGUUGCGAAGCAAGUGGCCUCAAGCAGUUAGUGUCUGAAAGUGUCAUUACCUGUGUAAGGAUGACGCAGUCACGAUCGUUGGAGGCCCACACGGCCGACGACCGGGUCGCUGGGCGCAAGCCCCCCUCUAACAAACCCCCUGCCAAUCGCGGCCGCGAUAAUACGCAGUCGACCAAAAACCGAACAACUGUUAACAAUGCUC